UACGGAGGGUGCAAGCGUUAUCCGGAUUCACUGGGUUUAAAGGGUGCGUAGGUGGGUUGGUAAGUCAGUGGUGAAAUCUCCGAGCUUAACUUGGAAACUGCCAUUGAUACUAUCAGUCUUGAAUAUUGUGGAGGUCAGCGGAAUAUGUCAUGUAGCGGUGAAAUGCUUAGAUAUGACAUAGAACACCAAUUGCGAAGGCAGCUGGCUACACAUAUAUUGACACUGAGGCGCGAAAGCGUGGGGAGCAAACAGG
This 253-nucleotide ribosomal RNA is filed under the name uncultured bacterium. RNAcentral's name for it is "partial 16S ribosomal RNA". It matches the Rfam family "Bacterial small subunit ribosomal RNA", at positions 524 to 776 of the family's 1533-position model. The record is from RNAcentral.